CAGCCAAGCGUUCAUAGCGACGUU
This 24-nucleotide non-coding RNA is filed under the name Arabidopsis thaliana (thale cress). The record is from RNAcentral. RNAcentral also lists the same sequence under 1 other name. Lineage: Eukaryota; Viridiplantae; Streptophyta; Magnoliopsida; Brassicales; Brassicaceae.